GCCGAGGUGGCGGAAUUGGUAGACGCAGUGGACUCAAAAUCCACCGGCCUUGCGGCCUUGCGGGUUCAAGUCCCGCCCUCGGUACCA
This 87-nucleotide transfer RNA is filed under the name Chromatiales bacterium. RNAcentral describes it as "tRNA-Leu". It matches the Rfam family "tRNA". Rfam says of the family: Transfer RNA (tRNA) molecules are approximately 80 nucleotides in length. Their secondary structure includes four short double-helical elements and three loops (D, anti-codon, and T loops). Lineage: Bacteria; Pseudomonadati; Pseudomonadota; Gammaproteobacteria; Chromatiales. The record is from RNAcentral. RNAcentral also lists the same sequence under 1 other name.